AUUGAACGCUGGCGGCAUGCCUUACACAUGCAAGUCGAACGGUAACAGGUCUUCGGAUGCUGACGAGUGGCGAACGGGUGAGUAAUACAUCGGAACGUGCCCGAUCGUGGGGGAUAACGGAGCGAAAGCUUUGCUAAUACCGCAUACGAUCUACGGAUGAAAGCAGGGGACCGCAAGGCCUUGCGCGGACGGAGCGGCCGAUGGCAGAUUAGGUAGUUGGUGGGAUAAAAGCUUACCAAGCCGACGAUCUGUAGCUGGUCUGAGAGGACGACCAGCCACACUGGGACUGAGAUACGGUCCAGACUCCUACGGGAGGCAGCAGUAGGGAAUAUUGGGCAAUGGGCGGAAGCCUGACCCAGCCAUGCCGCGUGAAGGAAGACGGCCUUAUGGGUUGUAAACUUCUUUACUAUGCGACUAACUAGAUUUACGAGAUAAUUCUAUAGAAUGUAGCAUAGCAAAAAAGCACCGGCUAACUCCGUG
This 480-nucleotide ribosomal RNA is filed under the name uncultured bacterium. RNAcentral describes it as "bacterial SSU rRNA". It matches the Rfam family "Bacterial small subunit ribosomal RNA", at positions 30 to 507 of the family's 1533-position model. The record is from RNAcentral.